CCAGGCUUGAACAGCGAGUGACCAUCUCCGAAAGGGGACUUCCGCAAGGACACUCGUAGAGGUGCUGCAUGGCUGUCGUCAGCUCGUGUCGUGAGAUGUUGGGUUAAGUCCCGCAACGAGCGCAACCCUUGUCUGCUGUUGCCAUCACGUUAUGGUGGGCACUCUGCAGAGACUGCCGGUGAUAAACCGGAGGAAGGUGGGGAUGACGUCAAGUCAGCAUGGCCUUUAUGUCUGGGGCUACACACGUGCUACAAUGGCCGAUACAAACCGUCGCGAUACCGCAAGGUGGAGCUAAUCGGAGAAAGUCGGUCUCAGUUCGGAUUGUAGGCUGCAACUCGCCUGCAUGAAGUUGGAAUCGCUAGUAAUCGCGGAUCAGCACGCCGCGGUGAAUACGUUCCC
RNAcentral lists this ribosomal RNA (399 nucleotides) under uncultured soil bacterium. RNAcentral's name for it is "bacterial SSU rRNA". It matches the Rfam family "Bacterial small subunit ribosomal RNA", at positions 975 to 1375 of the family's 1533-position model. The record is from RNAcentral.